RNAcentral lists this long non-coding RNA (972 nucleotides) under Olea europaea (common olive). RNAcentral's name for it is "long non-coding RNA (OEUR_LNC007881)". The record is from RNAcentral. Lineage: Eukaryota; Viridiplantae; Streptophyta; Magnoliopsida; Lamiales; Oleaceae.
UUUGAUCAAAUAAAUAAAUUGUAUUGAUAAAAAAUUUAAGUACAACUGCUCCGGGUAUACCUUGGCAUACAAAAUAAGACAUUACAAUGAUCUAAUGAUCCAAAACAAGUGACUGAGCGUGAAUCAAAACAUUACAACUUCGGCUGAUUGAAUACAUGAAGUGCCAAGCUACUGGCCGGUUUCGAAUUCUCUUAGAGGAGAUGAAAGUCCUAUCUUUCGAUAACAGUUCAUAACCACGCUAGCCGAACUUCAUAGCUUCAAGGACCCUGGAAUCAUCAAAGAUAAAAUUAGUCUGGGCGGAUUUAAUGAAUUCUUGUAAUAGGUAGACCGCUUUGCAAUUGGACAUCAAUAGCAAACAACAUAUCAAUGCUGGAAAACCCAAGCGAGCAGUUGUAAGUGUUAUGCCUCGCCACACGUAGCUCCACAUGGCCAACCCACUGUAGCUAUUAGGCCACUUAAACCCGAAUCACCUUGCAUUUUGGCCGAGGCCCUUAUGUCGACCCAUUUUGCAAUAUGGCCGAAGCCGAAGCCCAUUUCCCCAAGGUGGAGUCCUCCGAAGCCCAUAUUGCCAAGGCAAAAGCCUCCAAGCAUCUUUCAUUAUUACUUCUUCCAAGAUAUCUUAUUCUACACAAAAUGACUGAUGAGACAUUAGUCAUGAGUGUAAGUAUUAAGUCUUAUCAACAAAGUGGCGACUCUGCUUGAGUAAUAAAUGUAUAGCAGGCUAGCAAGUCAAAGAGUGAUGCCUAGGAUUUGAUGUAUGAAAUAAGGAGAUAAAGCCACGUGUAUCUUCAUCCAAGGGCCACCAUUUCGCUUGUACUAUUAUAAAUACUCCCCCAUAUAACCCUUUUAAAACUAAUGUGGCUUUGAAUACAAAAACUCUACUCUUUAUUUCCUCUUCCAUGAUAAUUGUAUUUACUUCAUGUUAGUUCAUUACGGUUGGCAAUUAUUGUACAAUCGUUUCGUAAAUACAUU